This 497-nucleotide ribosomal RNA is filed under the name uncultured bacterium. RNAcentral describes it as "partial 16S ribosomal RNA". It matches the Rfam family "Bacterial small subunit ribosomal RNA", at positions 28 to 507 of the family's 1533-position model. The record is from RNAcentral.
GAUGAACGCUGGCGGCGUGCCUAAUACAUGCAAGUCGAGCGAACGGACGAGAAGCUUGCUUCUCUGAUGUUAGCGGCGGACGGGUGAGUAACACGUGGAUAACCUACCUAUAAGACUGGGAUAACUUCGGGAAACCGGAGCUAAUACCGGAUAAUAUUUUGAACCGCAUGGUUCAAAAGUGAAAGACGGUCUUGCUGUCACUUAUAGAUGGAGCCGCGCUGCAUUAGCUAGUUGGUAAGGUAACGGCUUACCAAGGCAACGAUGCAUAGCCGACCUGAGAGGGUGAUCGGCCACACUGGAACUGAGACACGGUCCAGACUCCUACGGGAGGCAGCAGUAGGGAAUCUUGCGCAAUGGGCGAAAGCCUGACGGAGCAACGCCGCGUGAGUGAUGAAGGUCUUCGGAUCGUAAAACUCUGUUAUUAGGGAAGAACAGAUGUGUAAGUAACUGUGCACAUCUUGACGGUACCUAAUCAGAAAGCCACGGCUAACUACGUG